UGGGAUGUGUCUCAGGGGCAGAGUGUAUGCUUGGCAUGCAUGAGGCCCUGGGUUCAAUCCCCAGUACUGCAA
Molecule: non-coding RNA, 72 nt
Organism: Ictidomys tridecemlineatus (thirteen-lined ground squirrel)
Lineage: Eukaryota; Metazoa; Chordata; Mammalia; Rodentia; Sciuridae
Source: Rfam